This 422-nucleotide ribosomal RNA is filed under the name Verrucomicrobiota bacterium. RNAcentral describes it as "Verrucomicrobia bacterium partial 16S ribosomal RNA". It matches the Rfam family "Bacterial small subunit ribosomal RNA", at positions 355 to 776 of the family's 1533-position model. Lineage: Bacteria; Pseudomonadati; Verrucomicrobiota. The record is from RNAcentral.
UGGGGAAUAUUGCACAAUGGGCGCAAGCCUGAUGCAGCGACGCCGCGUGAGGGAUGAAGGCCUUCGGGUUGUAAACCUUUUUCGCUCAUGGUCAAGCCGCAGCUUUGGGUUGUGGUGAGGGUAGUGGGUAAAGAAGCGCCGGCUAACUACGUGCCAGCAGCCGCGGUAAUACGUAGGGCGCGAGCGUUGUCCGGAAUUAUUGGGCGUAAAGGGCUUGUAGGCGGUUGGCCGCGUCUGCCGUGAAAUCCUCUGGCUUAACUGGGGGCGUGCGGUGGGUACGGGUUGACUUGAGUGCGGUAGGGGAGACUGGAAUUCCUGGUGUAGCGGUGGAAUGCGCAGAUAUCAGGAGGAACACCGGUGGCGAAGGCGGGUCUCUGGGCCGUUACUGACGCUGAGGAGCGAAAGCGUGGGGAGCGAACAGG